This is a long non-coding RNA of Lolium rigidum, 562 nucleotides long. RefSeq lists it as uncharacterized. The record is from RefSeq and is a predicted model, not a curated record. NCBI's taxonomy places the organism in Eukaryota, Viridiplantae, Streptophyta, Magnoliopsida, Poales, Poaceae. The transcript has 3 exons.
UAUGCGGAAGUGUCAUUGGGACUGAAGACCAUCACUUUACUUGUAAGAUCUCCAAACAUGUCUGGAGGCAGGAGGUUCUGGCCUACAAAGGUGGCUGGAGUCGACGAUUCUCGGAUGGCUGCACUGGACAUCUCAAGCUGCCCCAGCUCUUCGUCUACUGUCACAACAAUUAAUACUAUUUAGCUUUUUUGUUCUGGAGAUUGCUCAAAGCGAUAAUGAAUGUUAAUUGGUGAGCUGUCGUGUGCUGGCCAUUUUCUCAAUCAUCACGGGUCUAUGGCUUUCUCCAAAAUUGGUUGGAAGUUGCGUCUCAAUGGAAGUGACAACGUGGUGUUUUAUCCGAUUAGCUGGUCUUGUGUCAGGGAAGCAGUUAUAUAUUUGUCUAGGUUUCCUUUUCUGAAGAAAAUCUGAAGUUCCUUAUAUAUCUGGUGUUUCACACUUUCCUCCUAGCACACAAUAUGCUAUUUCAAAGUCUGGACGGGGGCUGCUCGAUUUUCUCAUCUUGGACUGCCUAUACAGCUCGAGUGCACCAGUGAUUCUUUACAUUCUUCUUUGUAUUGUCCCU